This 444-nucleotide ribosomal RNA is filed under the name uncultured bacterium. RNAcentral describes it as "bacterial SSU rRNA". It matches the Rfam family "Bacterial small subunit ribosomal RNA", at positions 30 to 470 of the family's 1533-position model. The record is from RNAcentral.
AUUGAACGCUGGCGGCAGGCCUAACACAUGCAAGUCGAGCGGAUGAGUGGAGCUUGCUCCAUGAUUCAGCGGCGGACGGGUGAGUAAUGCCUAGGAAUCUGCCUGGUAGUGGGGGACAACGUUUCGAAAGGAACGCUAAUACCGCAUACGUCCUACAGGAGAAAGCAGGGGACCUUCGGGCCUUGCGCUAUCAGAUGAGCCUAGGUCGGAUUAGCUAGUAGGUGAGGUAAUGGCUCACCUAGGCGACGAUCCGUAACUGGUCUGAGAGGAUGAUCAGUCACACUGGAACUGAGACACGGUCCAGACUCCUACGGGAGGCAGCAGUGGGGGAAUAAUUGGACAAUGGGCGAAAGACCUGAUCCAGCCAUGCUGCGUGUGUGAAGAAAGGUCUUCGGAUUGUUAAAGGACACUUUAAAGUUGGGUAGGAAGGGUAGGUAACCUAAU